Molecule: long non-coding RNA, 1402 nt
Filed under: Homo sapiens (human)
Lineage: Eukaryota; Metazoa; Chordata; Mammalia; Primates; Hominidae
Description: HSALNT0335248
Source: RNAcentral
CUCCUUGCCUUCCCUCUUAGGACCAAACUCCCAGCUGGGGCCUCGGCGUCUGACCGCCAAAGAGCGGGUGCCUGGUUCCUGCGGAGGCUGCCGGGCGGGUGCCGAGGUUGCCGAGAUGCGGGAGGUUUGAACACAAGGAUGGGACAGAGGCGAGGAUCGGGGCUCCUGGGUGGCAGCGGCGGUAACCUGGGCUCCAGGGUAACGGAGGCGGAGGCCUAGACUGCACUACGAAGAGACCGCAGCCAAUCAUGAUGACUCUACCCGAGCUCCCAUUGGCUUCUGUCUCCAGACGGCCCUUUUUAUUGGCUUCAGUGGAACUGGAAGGCGGGACGGCGAGUGCGGGAGAAGGUCUCCAUUGGCCGACCGCUCUAGCUGUAGCGGAGACCCCCAAGUAGGGAAAUUGGGGCAAAACGCGGAGCGCUCCAGGCUCCUACGGGCUGUGCGGUGCCAGGGCUCGACUGCUGAGCGUCGUGGGCUCCGAGAGGGACGCGGGCGGAGGGCAAAGUGGGUUCAUGAUAUGAAUUGUAAAAUUGGCGACUGCGUAAUGUAAAACACUUAACAAUUGCUUAGAUUUCCUUUGGGAAAUAACUUGCUUUUAAAUUGUAAACAAAUUACAAACAAACUGCUAGUGCUUCUGGAUCUUCUUACCGAAAUGGCUGAUUCAGGAGGAUGCGGGGAGCGUCAGAUCAGGAUUGCUGAAGGAGAGCUGAGAAUGAAACCACCAUUUAUUCAGCACUCAGAAUGCUCCAGGCAGUGUAAUCUCAUUCCAUCUUCAUUCAUGACUCCAGACAGGUAUGGCCACCAGUGCUCCAGAUUUACAUUCUAUUUACCUCACAACCCCAGUGGAAAAAGAAUAUCUCUUUCCUGAUUGGUCCAGCAGAAAUCUUGGUAUUAACUCUGACUGCCCACACUUGAAUAUGAACUAUUAUGACUCUGAAAAUGAAGUAACAUCAUGAGAAGAGGAAACCAUAUGGAAUUAUUACACUUCUCUUUCCACAUGAACAGCCUGGCUAUUCUCUGCCCUUCUGUACUAAGGCCUAUCCUCUGGAAUCAUAGGGUGGCCUGGAAGCCUCAAAAGGAAAUUCUCCCUUGUGGUCAGAGGGAGGAACUGCUGUCUUCCAUCACCCUUCUUCACACUGCAAAUAUGACUUGGAAUAGAGUCCAUGCAAAAAUAGUUUUAUGCUUCUGAAUGGGUGCAGGACAAAAAAGGUGUUGUGUGGGCCAAUAGUGUCUAUAACUGCAAGUUCUACCAGUUCUCAAACUAUAGAAUGUUUCAGAAAUGCCAGGGAGCGGAUUAAAAAUGUUACUUUAAUCUGACUCAGUUCUGGGGGGUAAUCCAAAAAACACGUUUUUAUCUAGACCCCCAGGUGGUCCUGACAUAGGUGGCUGAAUGAACUCCCCC